UACGUAGGGGGCAAGCGUUGUCCGGAUUUAUUGGGCGUAAAGAGCGUGUAGGCGGCUGGGUAGGUCCGUUGUGAAAACUCGAGCUCAACCUCGAGACGCCGAUGGAAACCCUCCAGCUAGAGUCCGGAAGAGGAGAGUGGAAUUCCUGGUGUAGCGGUGAAAUGCGCAGAUAUCAGGAAGAACACCCGUGGCUAAGGCGGCUCUCUAGUACGGUACUGGACGCUGAGACGCGAAAGCGUGGGAGCGAA
Molecule: ribosomal RNA, 248 nt
Filed under: uncultured bacterium
Lineage: Bacteria
Description: partial 16S ribosomal RNA
Rfam family: Bacterial small subunit ribosomal RNA
Source: RNAcentral